RNAcentral lists this ribosomal RNA (200 nucleotides) under uncultured bacterium. RNAcentral describes it as "partial 16S ribosomal RNA". It matches the Rfam family "Bacterial small subunit ribosomal RNA", at positions 28 to 226 of the family's 1533-position model. The record is from RNAcentral.
GACGAACGCUGGCGGCGUGCUUAACACAUGCAAGUCGAACGAGACCCCGUCUUCGGGUGGGUGUUCUAGUGGCGAACGGGUGAGUAACACGUGGGCAACCUGCCCCCGGCUCUGGGAUAACUCCAAGAAAUUGGGGCUAAUACCGGAUAUUUCCGCUGACCGCAUGGUCUGGUGGGUGGAAAGGGUUUCCGGCUGGGGAU